UACGUAGGGGGCUAGCGUUGUCCGGAUUUAUUGGGCGUAAAGAGCGUGUAGGCGGUUUGGUAGGUCCGCUGUGAAAACUCGAGGCUCAACCUCGAGACGCCGGUGGAAACCAUCAGGCUAGAGUCCGGAAGAGGCGAGUGGAAUUCCUGGUGUAGCGGUGAAAUGCGCAGAUAUCAGGAGGAACACCAAUGGCGAAGGCAGCUCGCUGGGACGUGACUGACGCUGAGACGCGAAAGCGUGGGGAGCAAACAGG
RNAcentral lists this ribosomal RNA (253 nucleotides) under uncultured bacterium. RNAcentral describes it as "partial 16S ribosomal RNA". It matches the Rfam family "Bacterial small subunit ribosomal RNA", at positions 524 to 776 of the family's 1533-position model. The record is from RNAcentral.